RNAcentral lists this ribosomal RNA (494 nucleotides) under uncultured Pseudomonadota bacterium. Its description in RNAcentral is "bacterial SSU rRNA". It matches the Rfam family "Bacterial small subunit ribosomal RNA", at positions 355 to 839 of the family's 1533-position model. Lineage: Bacteria; Pseudomonadati; Pseudomonadota. The record is from RNAcentral.
UGGGGAAUAUUGGACAAUGGGGGCAACCCUGAUCCAGCCAUGCCGCGUGUGUGAAGAAGGCCUUCGGGUUGUAAAGCACUUUAAGCAGGGAGGAAGGCCAUAAGGUUAAUACCCUUGUGGAUUGACGUUACCUGCAGAAUAAGCACCGGCUAACUCCGUGCCAGCAGCCGCGGUAAUACGGAGGGUGCAAGCGUUAAUCGGAAUUACUGGGCGUAAAGCGCGCGUAGGCGGUUAUUUAAGCUGGAUGUGAAAGCCCCGGGCUCAACCUGGGAACUGCAUUCAGAACUGGAUGGCUAGAGUACGAGAGAGGGUAGUGGAAUUUCCUGUGUAGCGGUGAAAUGCGUAGAUAUAGGAAGGAACAUCAGUGGCGAAGGCGACUGCCUGGCUCGAUACUGACGCUGAGGUGCGAAAGCGUGGGGAGCAAACAGGGAUUAGAUACCCUGGGUAGUCCACGCCGUAAACGAUGUCUACUAGUCGUAGGGUUCCUUGAGGAC